RNAcentral lists this ribosomal RNA (429 nucleotides) under uncultured bacterium. RNAcentral's name for it is "bacterial SSU rRNA". It matches the Rfam family "Bacterial small subunit ribosomal RNA", at positions 355 to 776 of the family's 1533-position model. The record is from RNAcentral.
UAGGGAAUAUUGCUCAAUGGGCGCAAGCCUGAAGCAGCAAUGCCGCGUGAAGGAUGAAGGUCUUCGGAUUGUAAACUUCUUUUGUCAGGGAUGAAGAGAUUCCACUUAAUACGUGGGAAAUUUGACAGUACCUGAAGAAUAACCACCGGCUAACUCCGUGCCAGCAGCUGCGGUAAUACGGAGGGUGGAAGCGUUGAUCGGAUUGACUGGGCGUAAAGGGAGCGUAGGCGGCUUGACAAGUCGGGAGUGAAAUUUCGGGGCUUAACCCCGAAACUGCUUUCGAAACUGUCGAACUAGAGGAUAUUAAGGGAAAGCGGAAUACCACAUGUAGCGGUGAAAUGCGUAGAUAUGUGGUAGAACACCGGUGGUGAAGACGGCUUUCUGUGAUAUUACUGACGCUGAGGCUCGAAAGCAUGGGGAUCAAACAGG